This 1249-nucleotide long non-coding RNA is filed under the name Homo sapiens (human). Its description in RNAcentral is "mir-100-let-7a-2-mir-125b-1 cluster host gene". The record is from RNAcentral. Lineage: Eukaryota; Metazoa; Chordata; Mammalia; Primates; Hominidae.
GGAGUUUCCGUGAGGUUUUUUCAGUGGGAUUAUUUGUGUCCCUGUGGCUCUUCAGGGAGCUUGCAGAAUUCUAGCUAAAGAUAAGAAGGGCAUCGCUUCAAAUGGGAGGCCAAUCAAUGCAGCAUUAGGAAGGCUUCAUUCAGCUCAGCACCACCUUGGUGAAGAUCCCGGUGUUACACAUCCAAUCGUUCACCUCCUUCCAAGACUAUGACAUUCCAGGAAACCUUCACUGCUAAGAGGAACUAAGAUCUAGAGUAUCUCCUCGAGGAAGUACAACUGACUUGUCUUUGGACAAAAUUGAGAAGAACUCAUAAACUUGGCUUCCUCGCUUCUGCUCCUCAGACGCGCGUGGAUGAUUUGAAGAUAUUAGCCUAACAAGAUGGAAGCAGGUUUAAAAUUUUACAUAAGAAGUUACCUUUUUCAGGUAAUGGUGUUUUUCUGUAAUUUUCCCAAACCUUUCGCUUCCUCAAGUAUUGCAAAUUUUUAGGGCAUGCUUGAAUGAUUUAAUUAUGAAGAAUAACUACAUUUUAAACUUAAUUUUUUAAAAAAGAAACCAGUUUUAUAAUUUUCCUAGCCAAGGAGUAGAGCAGGCAUGACAUUCAACUCUAUGGAGUUUGGAAAAUUUUUAGAAAUUUAUUACUGAACAGCACUUGGUUUUUUGGAUUUGAAAAUUAAGCCAUAGAGCUACAACUAAAUUCUGUUUUGCCAAACUUCACAGCACCAGCAGGCUCUGAGCAAUCAUAAGCAUUUGAAACUAGCAGGCACUGCCCCUUAACUCUGUCGCUAUCUUGGGCAUUUGAAUGAAAAAAUAUAAGUAUUACAGGAUUGGCUCUAAAAAGCCUACCAUGUGUUCUGAAUUCCUGGAAGAUAGAGCUUAUAUAAAUUACAUAAUAACAAUAUUGAUUUUUUUUUUUACUUUAGUCAUAGAUUGGCAAUACUAUAUGGCACUUUAUGAAACUAUUCCCAUGCAUAUAUUCAGUGAGUAGGAUUUGAUCUUAGCUUUCAUGAUACAGGCAGUUUCCUUUUAGUGUCAUUGAAGGGCUUUAUGCCACCUAAAAAUGUUUAAUAACAUAAAUUAUAUAUUUGCUUUAUAAGUUACAUUACUCGGCCUUUGUCACUGCUUAUCAGCAUUAACCCAUAUUUUCCAACUUGUUAAUAUUACUAAGAGAGCCCACGGAUUCUUGCUUAAUGAAGCAAGCCAAAAUUUCUUCUGAAAAAAACCCCUCAUUUUCCUCCUCAACACAAAGAA